GUCCACGCCGUAAACGAUGGGCACUAGGUGUGGGAGGUGUCGACUCCUCCCGUGCCGUAGCUAACGCAUUAAGUGCCCCGCCUGGGGAGUACGGCCGCAAGGCUAAAACUCAAAGGAAUUGACGGGGGCCCGCACAAGCAGCGGAGCAUGUGGUUUAAUUCGACGCAACGCGAAGAACCUUACCUGGGCUUGACAUGUCGGUCGUACCUGUGGAAACACAGGGUCAGUUCGGCUGGACCGUCACAGGUGGUGCAUGGCUGUCGU
This 264-nucleotide ribosomal RNA is filed under the name uncultured bacterium. RNAcentral describes it as "partial 16S ribosomal RNA". It matches the Rfam family "Bacterial small subunit ribosomal RNA", at positions 793 to 1055 of the family's 1533-position model. The record is from RNAcentral.